RNAcentral lists this non-coding RNA (205 nucleotides) under Hyphomicrobiales bacterium. The record is from RNAcentral. Lineage: Bacteria; Pseudomonadati; Pseudomonadota; Alphaproteobacteria; Hyphomicrobiales.
UUGUUAGCAGCUGUCAUCGGUGCCUCUUUCGAGAGGUGAAACGGGAAUGCGGUGCGGGGAUUCAUCCCCAAUGCCGCGGCUGCCCCCGCAACUGUAAGCGGUCAUCCGAUCCACAAAGCCACUGGACCUCGCGCUGGCGAGUCCGGGAAGGCGGAUCAGGAUAACGACCGCGAGCCAGGAGACCGGCCGCUGACGAACAUUAACU